Molecule: long non-coding RNA, 1852 nt
Organism: Piliocolobus tephrosceles (Ugandan red Colobus)
Lineage: Eukaryota; Metazoa; Chordata; Mammalia; Primates; Cercopithecidae
Source: Ensembl
AAAAAAAUGAAUUAAGAUAAAUAGAUAAAAAAAAAUCGAUUAUACUACAAUAUAAACCACUUGUUAAGCAAUGGGAGUGAAAAAGGCAAGAAUUAACAACUUUCAAAAGCUGCAAGUCAAAUUAAACAAUAAUAUAUAUUUGUAUAUAUGCAUAUAUAAAUAUAUUUUACAUUCCUCUUUUUUUUUUUUUUUUUUUUUUUUUUUUUUUUAAAGUGGGAAUGUAUUAUAAUAUUAAUAAAGACUCUUAAAAAAAAAAAAAAAAUGAACACUAAAAAAGAUUUCCAUUUAUAUAUGAUAGAAAAUAAGAAUAAAUAUAAUAAAAAAAAUAGAGUAAUACAAUAGCUACAUUUGUGAUCACCCAUAAUAAUAAUAAUAAAGAAAUGCAAAAAAUCAGAACAAUUAUUUUAUUUUUUAUCAUAUAUUUUACUUUUUAUUUUGUCCAAACAAAAGAUGGUAACAUAGAUAAUAUUGUAUUUAUAGAAGAUUCAGAUGAAUAUGGAGAGGACUUUAUAGAUUUAACUAAUAAUGCAAAAGCUAAGAAUAUCGAACGUAAGUAUAAGAAUGCAAUAUCAAGCGAACUACAUUCCUGGGUAGGCGAUAAUGAAGAAUUAUUUUACCUAAAAAUAGUUGUUUUUAUUUGUGUUUUAAUUGCCGUGAUUAUUAAUGCUGUAAUAGGUAAGCAAGCAAAUAGAAAAAUAGCUCUUUUUUGGCUUAGGUCAUGUAAAGGUAUUUUUUUAGAACAGUUUGCGAAAUUAGGACAUGCGAAAUAUUUUUUAUUAGAGAAAUCAUAUGAUAAUUAUGAUUUAUAUUGUAGUGGACGGAAAAAUUGUAAUUAUUAUUCUGUUAAUUUAGAUUUAAGUAAAAGACAAUGUUUAUGGAGGUAUUAUGUUUUUAAUUACUUUGUAAAACAAAAUGAUACAAUGAGCAUUUCUAUUAAUUUUGACAAAUUAGAUAAAGUAUUUUUUUGUGUUUAUAAAAAACAUCAAAAAAAAAAUAUUGAAUCCCGUUUUCCAAAUUUAAAUAAAUAUACAAAAUUUAUGAAUAAAAAAGAAUUAAAACAACUUUACGAAAUUAAAGCAGAUUCGUCGGAAGUAACAGAUUUAGUUUUAAGUGGCCACAUUUUAAAUUUUUUAAAUACUAAUGAAAAAUAUAUAAAUUAUUUAUGUAUUAGUGACAUUCCAUUUGAUGAAAAUGAAGAAGAAACCAAUUCUGUAAAAAAACAAGAAACAAAAGAAGAUAAAAAAGAAGGAAAAAAAGAGGAAAAACAAGAAAAUAUUAAUAAAAAAUCUUCAAAGCAUAAAUUUUGCAUUUUAAAUUUAAUUAUACCACAAGAUGAAAGUGAACUGCAAACAUUAAUCAAGUUUUCUAUUUAUAUGAUCGAUGCUUGUGUUAGUAUUGAAUUACCAGAUAAAGUUAGAGAACAUGUUAAAAAAUUAAGAAGUAUUAUUGAUAAAGAAGACGACAAAAAAAAACAAGAGUUAAAGGAAUUACAAGAAAAAAAAAGGAUUCAAAAAAUACAAGAAGAAAAAGAAAAAAUUGAUAAAAUGCCAGCAGAACAACAAAGAAAAUAUGAAGAAAAAAAACAAAAAAAAAGUUUGAAAAAAAUGAAAAAAAUAAAAAUUAUAAAAAUGUGAUUUUUUUUUUUUUUUUUUUUUUUUUUUUUUUUUUUUUUUUUUUUUGUUACAUUGGUAUAUUGUAAUUAUAACAUCAUUAUUCUUAUCAUUAUAUAACUAUUGUUUCUACUGUUACAUUUGUUAUUGUUUUUUCUAUUAGUACGUUUUAUUUAUAUACUUGGUUUGUUAUAUAUUUACAUGUUCAUAUAUUGUAUUUAUAUAUUUAUUUAUAUAUUUAU